Molecule: unclassified non-coding RNA, 230 nt
Filed under: Hevea brasiliensis (rubber tree)
Lineage: Eukaryota; Viridiplantae; Streptophyta; Magnoliopsida; Malpighiales; Euphorbiaceae
Source: RNAcentral
CUUGUCGCUAGGUUUCUGAAGAUUAUGUUCUUUAAUGUGAGCCCAAAUGACCUUAAGGGCUUGGGUACGGGAAAUCUCAGGAGCGCCGACAAGCGCCUGCAUCUCCGGCGAAACUCUGCGGGGCUUCAUGAUGCCACGGGGCUGCCGGCGGGAGGCAGUGGCUUGGUUGGAGGCGGAAGCGAAGGUGACGGUGCGGGCGAAGCGCAAAUUAGGCAGAGGGAGUUGACAGG